GAUGAACGCUGGCGGCGUGCCUAAUACAUGCAAGUCGAGCGAACGGACGCGAAUCUUGCGUCACUGAAGUUAGCAGCGGACGGGUGAGUAACACGUGGUUAACCCACCUAUAAGGCUGGGGCAACUGCGGGAAACCGUAGCUAAUGCCGGGUAAUAUUUUUAACCUCAUGGUUCAAAAGUUAAUGACGGUCUUGCUGUCCUUUAUAGAUGUAUCCGCGCUGCAUUAGCUAGUUGGUAAGGUAACGGCUUACCAAGGCGACGAUGGCUAGCCGACCUGCGAGGGGGAUCGGCCACACUGGAAGUGGGACACGGUCCAGAGACCGAGGGGCGGCAGAAGUAGGGACGGGUCGGCGAUGGGCGAAAGCCUGCAGGAUCGGCGCAACGUGAGUGCUGAAGGUCUUCGGAUCGUAAGACUGCGUUAUUGGUGAAAAACACAUGUGCAAGGAACUGUGCACUUCGUGACGGUACCUAAUCAGAAAGCAACGGCUAACUACGUG
Molecule: ribosomal RNA, 497 nt
Filed under: uncultured bacterium
Lineage: Bacteria
Description: partial 16S ribosomal RNA
Rfam family: Bacterial small subunit ribosomal RNA
Source: RNAcentral